This 497-nucleotide ribosomal RNA is filed under the name uncultured bacterium. RNAcentral describes it as "partial 16S ribosomal RNA". It matches the Rfam family "Bacterial small subunit ribosomal RNA", at positions 28 to 507 of the family's 1533-position model. The record is from RNAcentral.
GAUGAACGCUGGCGGCGUGCCUAAUACAUGCAAGUCGAGCGAACAGACGAGGAGCUUGCUCCUCUGACGUUAGCGGCGGACGGGUGAGUAACACGUGGAUAACCUACCUAUAAGACUGGGAUAACUUCGGGAAACCGGAGCUAAUACCGGAUAAUAUAUUGAACCGCAUGGUUCAAUAGUGAAAGACGGUUUUGCUGUCACUUAUAGAUGGAUCCGCGCCGCAUUAGCUAGUUGGUAAGGUAACGGCUUACCAAGGCAACGAUGCGUAGCCGACCUGAGAGGGUGAUCGGCCACACGGGAACUGAGACACGGUCCAGACUCCUGCGGGAGGCAGCAGUAGGGAAUCUUCCGCAAUGGGCGAAAGCCUGACGGAGCAACGCCGCGUGAGUGAUGAAGGUCUUCGGACCGUAAAACUCUGUUAUUAGGGAAGAACAAAUGUGUAAGUACCUAUGCACGUCUUGACGGUACCUAAUCAGAAAGCCACGGCUAACUACGUG